This 164-nucleotide small nuclear RNA is filed under the name Phocoena sinus (vaquita). RNAcentral describes it as "U1 spliceosomal RNA (ENSPSNG00000000925.1)". It matches the Rfam family "U1 spliceosomal RNA". From Rfam's summary of the family: U1 is a small nuclear RNA (snRNA) component of the spliceosome (involved in pre-mRNA splicing). Its 5' end forms complementary base pairs with the 5' splice junction, thus defining the 5' donor site of an intron. The record is from Rfam by way of RNAcentral. Lineage: Eukaryota; Metazoa; Chordata; Mammalia; Artiodactyla; Phocoenidae.
AUACUUACCUGGCAGAGAAAAUAUUAUGACCUCGAAGGUGGUUUUCUCAGGUUGAGGCUUAUCUGUUGUACUUCGAAUUUGUUGACGCCUCCCAUUUCCCCAAAUGUGAGAAACUCGACUGCAAAAUUUGUGAUAGUGGGGGAUUGCGUUCGCGCCUUCCCCUG